This is a long non-coding RNA of Osmia bicornis bicornis, 345 nucleotides long. RefSeq lists it as uncharacterized. The record is from RefSeq and is a predicted model, not a curated record. The transcript has 4 exons. NCBI's taxonomy places the organism in Eukaryota, Metazoa, Arthropoda, Insecta, Hymenoptera, Megachilidae.
GAGCAGUCCAGGUUGUAAACGGUGUUUCCCUCCAUUUUUAAAUAAGUCAAGAGCAAACACGUUAUCUUGAAACUGCAGUUAUUUUCUUCGGUGGAAUAUACGUCCACCAGGCUAAGAAAAAGAAAAGAAGGGACGCUGCCUUGCCGAUAAAAGCUAACGCCAGCAUGUACCUGAAAAGAAGUUCAACAAUGGAGCAUCGUACGCAAGAUUAUCGACCCCAGCCAUGAUUCUUCUGAAAAAUAAGAAAAUAUUGAAAUCCAGAAGAUCGAUCAUCUUCGUCUUGACGUCACCGCCCUGUACGUACUCCAAGGCGAGACCUAAAACGGCACCGAGAAAAAGGAAAAA